AAAAAAUAUUUGAAAAACAAAACGAAUAAAAAGUAUAACUUCCAAGAGAAAGGGACGAUACGUGCGAAGAUACUUAACCCUUCGAAGGUGAAAGGGAAGCAAGAGAGCCACAUUUGAAAUUCGAUCUUAUUCGCGACCCUAUACGAAAAAAAA
Long non-coding RNA from Vespa mandarinia (Asian giant hornet), 153 nucleotides. NCBI's taxonomy places the organism in Eukaryota, Metazoa, Arthropoda, Insecta, Hymenoptera, Vespidae. The record is from RefSeq and is a predicted model, not a curated record.